GAUGAACGCUGGCGGCGUGCCUAAUACAUGCAAGUCGAGCGAACGGACGAGAAGCUUGCUUCUCUGAUGUUAGCGGCGGACGGGUGAGUAACACGUGGAUAACCUACCUAUAAGACUGGGAUAACUUCGGGAAACCGUAGCUAAUACCGGAUAAUAUUUUGAACCGCAUGGUUCAAAAGUGAAAGACGGUCUUGCUGUCACUUAUAGAUGGAUCCGCGCUGCAUUAGCUAGUUGGUAAGGUAACGGCUUACCAAGGCAACGAUGCAUAGCCGACCUGAGAGGGUGAUCGGCCACACGGGAACUGAGACACGGUCCAGACUCCUACGGGAGGCAGCAGUAGGGAAUCUUCCGCAAUGGGCGAAAGCCUGACGGAGCAACGCCGCGUGAGUGAUGAAGGUCUUCGGAUCGUAAAACUCUGUUAUUAGGGAAGAACAUAUGUGUAAGUAACUGUGCACAUCUUGACGGUACCUAAGCAGAAAGCCACGGCUAACUACGU
RNAcentral lists this ribosomal RNA (496 nucleotides) under uncultured bacterium. RNAcentral describes it as "partial 16S ribosomal RNA". It matches the Rfam family "Bacterial small subunit ribosomal RNA", at positions 28 to 506 of the family's 1533-position model. The record is from RNAcentral.